GAAUUCUCAGCUCUUAUACAGAAGUGCUGUGCAGCUGCUGACAAAGAAGCCUGCUUUGCAGAGGAGGGUCCAAAACUUGUUGCUUCAUGCCAAGCAAUUUUAGCCUAAAAUCAACAAAAUCACAAGCAUCUCAGUUUACCCUGAGAGAAAGAAAGAGAAAUGAAGACCCAAAGUUUAUUCAACUGUUUUUCCUUUUAUUUGAUGUAAAACCAACAGCCUCUCUAAAGAACAUAAGUUUCUUUAAAUUGUUGUAAUGUAC
This is a long non-coding RNA of Myotis brandtii (Brandt's bat), 259 nucleotides long. RefSeq lists it as uncharacterized. The transcript is spliced from 3 exons. The record is from RefSeq and is a predicted model, not a curated record. NCBI's taxonomy places the organism in Eukaryota, Metazoa, Chordata, Mammalia, Chiroptera, Vespertilionidae.